This 1605-nucleotide long non-coding RNA is filed under the name Sus scrofa (pig). Its description in RNAcentral is "lncRNA (ENSSSCG00015010503.1)". The record is from RNAcentral. Lineage: Eukaryota; Metazoa; Chordata; Mammalia; Artiodactyla; Suidae.
AUUCAAUUUCAUGUCUAGGGAUCGGUCUGUUCAGUUGAUCUAUUUCUUCUUGAUUCAGUUUUGGCAGGCUGUAAGAUUCUAGAAAAUCGUCCAUUUCUUCUAAGUUGUCAAAUUUGUUGGCAUACAAUUGCUCAUAGUAUUCUCUCAUGGUUUUUUGUAUUUCUGUAGUAUCCAUUGUGACUUCUCCUUUUGCAUUUCUGAUUUUUUUAUUCGGGAUUUUUCCUCUCCUCUUCUUGGUGAGUCUGGCCAGAGGUUUGUCAAUUUUGUAUACCUUUUCUAAGAAGCAGCUCUUGGUUUUAUCGAUUUUUUGAAUCUCUAUUUUAUUGAUUUCCUCUUUGAUCUUUAUGAUUUCCUUCCUUCUGCUGACUUUAAUUUUUGAUUGUUUUUCUUUAUCUAAUUCAUUUAGGUGGUGGGUUAAGGUGUCAAUUUGAGAUUUUUCUUCUUUUUUUUGAGGAAGGCCUGUAUUGCUAUGUAUUUCCCUCUGAGCACUGCUUUUGCAUCAUCUCAUAGAUUUUGAGUGGUUGUGUCUUCAUUAUCAUUUGUUUCAAGGUAGUUUUUAAUUUCCUUCUUGAUUUCCUCAUUGACCCAUUGGUUUUUUAGUAGCAUGUUGUUUAGUCUCCAUGUAGUAGGUUUUUUCUCUUUCCUUUUCCCAUGGUUGAUUUCUAAUUUCAUGGCAUUGUGGUCAGAGAAGAUACUUGAGAUAAUUUCUAUGCUCCUAAAUUUAUUGAGAUUCGCUUUGUGUCCCAAUAUGUGGUCGAUUCUUGAGAAUGUUCCAUGAGCAUUUGAGAAGAAUGUGUAUUCUGCUUUUUUUGGAUGUAGUGUCCUGAAGAUAUCAAUUAAGUCUAACUUUUCUAUUGUUUCCUUUAGGAUCUCUGUUGCUUUAUUGGUUUUCUGUCUAGAGGAUCUGUCCAUUGAUGUGAGGGGGGUAUUUAGGUCUCCUACUAUGAUUGUAUUCUCAUCAAUAUCUCCCUUUAUGUCUGUUAAUAUUUGUUGUAUGUAUCUGGGUGCUCCUAUAUUUGGGGCAUAUAUGUUGAUGAUAGUAACAUCCUCUCCUUGGAUGGAUCCCUUAAUCAUUAAAUAGUGUCCUUCUUUGUCUUUCUUUAUGUCUUUUGUUUUAAAGUCUAUUUUGUCUGAUAUGAGCGUUGCGACUCCUGCUUUUCUGUCAUGUCUAUUGGCAUGAAAUAUUUUUCCCCACCCUUUCACUUUCAAUCUAUAUGUAUCUUUUGUCCUAAGGUGAGUUUCUUGUAGGCAGCAUAUUGAAGGUUUUUGCCUUUUUAUCCACUCAGCCACUCUGUGUCUUUUGAUUGGGGCAUUCAGUCCAUUGACAUUUAAGGUGAUAAUUGAUAGAUGAUUAUUUAUUGCCAUUUGAACCUCGUGUUCCAGUUGAUUCUAUGGUUCUCCAUUCUUCCUUUCUUUUUUUUUUUUUUUUUUUUUUGGUUGGAUGGUCUCCUGUUAUUAUCUGCUUGAGUGUAUUUUUUUUUUCAUUUUUUGCAAAUGCAAUAUUUGGUUUUGGCUUGUGGUUGCCCUGUUUUUUAAGUAUGCUAACCCCUUCCCAUAAUUGUGUGUUUUAGCCUGAUGGUCCUGUAAGUUCAAACACUUCAUUAC